GGUGCCAAAAAUUCUUGUUGACACUUGCUAACACCACUUGAAUACUAGGUUGUCAUCCCCAGCAUGGCACUAGAGUGUACUAUGGUAUUUAUACGCACACAGAUAAAUCCGCAAGCGCACGGAUACCGUUGUAGCUUUUACCCGAUUAAAGGUUUUAUCGUAUCCACAGGGAAACAGGAGAACUGAUCUACGCUCUAACUUAACAUAGAUAGAUAGGUAGGUGUAGAUAGGAAAGAUGGUAGAAUUGAAUAAGCACAAUAUUAAAAGUAAGAUAACAAUGGGUGAUAAUAUGGGAAUAGAGAGUAGAGCAAUCUAGUAUAUGGGCGAUGGUAGGAGAAUAGAGAGGAUAACUAUGGUUUCUCUACUUCAAAGGGGUAUGUCUAUGCCUGGGACGAACCACGUGAUAAGAAUACACCACAAAGGAUGCUUAUCCAUAGGCCGAUAAACCCUACCCGUCCUGCUAACAGGCGGUGGACUAUAGGGGACCAACGUAACUGUCACCUACGCGGCCUACCACACGAUCCAGCUAGACAGGGGAU
This 539-nucleotide long non-coding RNA is filed under the name Sorghum bicolor (sorghum). RNAcentral describes it as "long non-coding RNA (SBIC_LNC002942)". The record is from RNAcentral. Lineage: Eukaryota; Viridiplantae; Streptophyta; Magnoliopsida; Poales; Poaceae.